This 497-nucleotide unclassified non-coding RNA is filed under the name uncultured Glomus. RNAcentral describes it as "SSU rRNA". It matches the Rfam family "Eukaryotic small subunit ribosomal RNA", at positions 591 to 1092 of the family's 1831-position model. Lineage: Eukaryota; Fungi; Glomeromycota; Glomeromycetes; Glomerales; Glomeraceae. The record is from RNAcentral.
CCAAUAGCGUAUAUUAAAGUUGUUGCAGUUAAAAAGCUCGUAGUUGAAUUUCGGGAUUAGUACGUUGGUCGUGCCUUGGUACGUACUGGUGUAACUGAUUCCUCCCUUCUGACGAACCGUUAUGCCAUUAAUUUGGUGUGGCGGGAAAUCAGGACUGUUACUUUGAAAAAAUUAGAGUGUUUAAAGCAGGCUCGCGCUUGAAUACAUUAGCAUGGAAUAAUGAAAUAGGACGUUAAUCCUAUUUUGUUGGUUUCUAGGAUCGACGUAAUGAUUAAUAGGGAUAGUUGGGGGCAUUAGUAUUCAAUUGUCAGAGGUGAAAUUCUUGGAUUUAUUGAAGACUAACUACUGCGAAAGCAUUUGCCAAGGAUGUUUUCAUUAAUCAAGAACGAAAAUUAGGGGAUCGAAGGCGAUCAGAUACCGUCGUAGUCUUAACCAUAAACUAUGCUGACUAGGGAUCAGAUGAUGUUAUUUUUUAAUAACUCAUUCGGCGCCUUACG